Molecule: transfer RNA, 71 nt
Rfam family: tRNA
About the family: Transfer RNA (tRNA) molecules are approximately 80 nucleotides in length. Their secondary structure includes four short double-helical elements and three loops (D, anti-codon, and T loops).
GCCCGGGUGGCCGAGUGGCGAGGCAACCGGCUGCAGACCGGUCUACGGGGGUUCGAAUCCCUCCCCGGGCU